This is an RNA transcript of Cercocebus atys (sooty mangabey), 4650 nucleotides long. It is a transcript of the gene named phosphatase domain containing, paladin 1, with no coding region annotated. The record is from RefSeq and is a predicted model, not a curated record. The transcript has 21 exons. Lineage: Eukaryota; Metazoa; Chordata; Mammalia; Primates; Cercopithecidae.
GGAUCCGCCCCUCGGCGCUGGGGACGCGGGGCGCGGGCAGCAGCUCGGCGCGCAAGGGCCGGGGCGCUCAGCUCCAGUUGGCGGUGAGUGCGGGCUCCCUCUCGCGUGGCCUCGCCGGGUCCGCCUGGCCUGCCCACCUCCGGAGCCGCCUCUGCCCCCGCAUGGGCUGGGGAAGUUGGGAGGAGCGAGCCGGAGCCAGAGCCCGCGCCGGGCGCGCCCCGCCGCUGCCUGACUCGGCGCCCGCAGUCCGGGCGCAGCGCGCCUGCCGUAGGAGCACGGAUGCCCCCCGGAGCCGCGGGCUGGCAGGUCUGGGGUCCUGAGGCUGCCAGCAGACUAUGGGUACAACGGCCAGCACAGCCCAGCAGACUGUCUCGGCAGGCACCCCCUUUGAGGGCCUCCAGGGCAGCAGCACGAUGGACGGUCGGCACUCCCUCAGUGUCCACUCCUUCCAGACCACUAGCUUGCAUAACAGCAAGGCCAAGUCCAUCAUCCCCAACAAGGUGGCCCCUGUUGUGAUCACGUACAACUGCAAGGAGGAGUUCCAGAUCCAUGACGAGCUGCUCAAGGCUCAUUACACGCUGGGCCGGCUCUCGGACGCCACCCCUGAGCACUACCUGGUGCAGGGUCGCUACUUUCUGGUGCGAGAUGUCACUGAGAAGAUGGACAUGCUGGGCACCGUGGGAAGCUGUGGGGCCCCCAACUUCCGGCAGGUGCAGGGUGGACUCGCUGUGUUCGGCAUGGGACAGCCCAGCCUCUCAGGGUUCAGGCGGGUCCUCCAGAAACUCCAGAAGGACGGACAUAGGGAGUGUGUCAUCUUCUGUUUGCGGGAGGAACCUGUGCUGUUCCUGCGUGCAGAUGAGGACUUCGUGUCCUACACACCUCGAGACAAGCAGAACCUUCAUGAGAAUCUCCAGGGCCUUGGACCUGGGGUCCGGGUAGAGAGCCUGGAGCUGGCCAUCCGGAAAGAGAUCCACGACUUUGCCCAGCUGAGUGAGAACACAUACCAUGUGUACCACAACAUCGAGGACCUGCAGGGGGAGCCCCACGCUGUGGCCAUCCGUGGUGAGGACGACGUGCAUGUGACAGAGGAGGUGUACAAGCGACCCCUCUUCCUGCAGCCCACCUACAGGUACCACCGCCUGCCUCUGCCCGAGCAAGGGAGUCCCCUGGAGGCCCAGUUGGACGCCUUUGUCAGUGUUCUCCGGGAGACCCCCAGCCUGCUGCAGCUCUGCGAUGCCCACGGGCCUCCCCCAGCCCUCGUCUUCAGCUGCCAGAUGGGCGUGGGCAGGACCAACCUGGGCAUGGUGCUGGGCACCCUCAUCCUGCUUCACCGCAGUGGGAUCACCUCCCAGCCAGAGGCUGCCCCCACACAGGCCAAGCCCUUGCCCAUGGAGCAGUUCCAGCUGAUCCAGAGCUUUCUCCGCAUGGUGUCCCAGGGAAGGAGGAUGGUGGAGGAGGUGGACAGAGCCAUCACUGCCUGUGCCGAGUUGCAUGACCUGAAAGAAGUGGUCUUGGAAAACCAGAAGAAGUUAGAAGGUUUCCGACUGGAGAACCCAGCCCAGGGAAGCGGCAGCCGACACAGCAUCUGGCAGAGGGCGCUGCGGAGCCUGGAGCGGUACUUCUACCUGAUCCUGUUUAACUACUACCUUCAUGAGCAGUACCCGCUGGCCUUUGCCCUCAGUUUCAGCCGCUGGCUGUGUGCCCACCCUGAGCUGUACCGCCUGCCCGUGACGCUGAGCUCAGCAGGCCCUGUGGCUCCGAGGGACCUCAUUGCCGAGGGCUCCCUGCGGGAGGACGAUCUGGUCUCCCCGGACGCACUCAGCACUGUCAGAGAGAUGGAUGUGGCCAACUUCCGGCGGGUGCCCCGCAUGCCCAUCUACGGCACAGCCCAGCCCAGCGCCAAGGCCCUGGGGAGCAUCCUGGCCUACCUGACAGACGCCAAGAGGAGGCUGCGGAAGGUCGUCUGGGUGAGCCUGAGGGAGGAGGCCGUGUUGGAGUGUGACGGGCACACCCACAGCCUGCAGCGGCCUGGGCCCCCUGUGACUCCUGACCAGCUGGAGACCCUGGAGGCCCAGCUGAAGGCCCAUCUAAGUGAGCCUCCCCCGGGCAAGGAGGGUCCCCCGACCCACAGGUUCCAGACCUGGCUCACCACGCAGGAGGUCUUCAGCCAGCACCGCAGGACCUGCCCCGGCCUCACCUACCACCGCAUCCCCAUGCCGGACUUCGGUGCUCCCCGAGAGGAGGACUUUGACCAGCUGCUGGAGACCCUAUGGGCCUCCCUCUCCAAGGACCCAGGCACUGGCUUCGUGUUCAGCUGCCUCAGCGGCCAGGGCCGUACCACGACUGCGAUGGUGGUGGCUGUCCUGGCCUUCUGGCACAUCCAGGGCUUCCCCGAUGUGGGUGAGGAGGAGCUCGUGAGUGUGCCUGAUGCCAAGUUCACUAAGGGUGAAUUUCAGGUAGUAAUGAAGGUGGUGCAGCUGCUGCCCGAUGGGCACCGUGUGAAGAAGGAGGUGGACGCGGCGCUGGACACCGUCAGUGAGACCAUGACGCCCAUGCACUACCACCUGCGGGAGAUCAUCAUCUGCACCUACCGCCAGGCAAAGGCAGCUAAAGAGGCGCAGGAAAUGCGGAGGCUGCAGCUGCGGAGCCUGCAGUACCUGGAACGCUAUGUCUGCCUGAUUCUCUUCAAUGCGUACCUCCACCUGGAGAAGGCCGGCUCCUGGCAGAGGCCCUUCAGCACCUGGAUGCAAGAGGUGGCAUCGAAGGCUGGCAUCUAUGAGAUCCUCAACGAGCUGGGAUUCCCCGAGCUGGAGAGCGGGGAGGACCAGCCCUUCUCCAGGCUGCGCUACCGGUGGCAGGCGCAGAGCUGCUGCCUCGAGCCCUCCGCCCCCGAGGACUUGCUGUAGGGGGACCUACUCCCUGUCCCCCACCCAUAGGGCCCCACGCGGGCCUGGGGUGUCUGAGGUGCUCUUGGCUGGGAGUGGCCCUGAGGGGUGCUGGUCUUGAGGAAAUGAUUCCCCUGCUUCCUAGAGAGACUGGGCGGAGUUGGGAGCCUUUUUAGAAAGAACUUUUUAUAGGACAGGGAGACAGCACAGCCAUCCCUUGCAAACCACCAAGGUGUGUGGCUGACCUCCAGGGAGCAGCACUCACUGGAGUGCUCACAAGGUGCACACUCUGCUGUGUGCACCUGCAAACAGGCUGGCGUUUGGCCUCCAAGGAGCUCACUCCCCCAGUUGCCAGACACUGUGGAUCUCUUUGUCCUCCUCUCCCUGCUCUCAGAUUGGCCUGGCAGCCCCUGGCACAGAGCAGACCCAGCCACUGGUAGCUCCCCACUUCCUUACUCCGGCUGCUCUGCCAUUGCCGCUCCCCUUCUUGCUGCCCAAGCACUGCCCUCGGGCGUCUCGCAGCCUGAGGUGGGUGGAGGGGACAGUGUUCUGGAUAGACCUAUUAUGUGAAAGGCAGCUUCACCCAGUUUUCUGGACUCUCAUGCUCGCAUCUCCAACCUGGGAGACUGCAGGAAGAACACCUACCCAGCCUGGUGGGGCUGGCAGGAUGGUGGAGGUUUCUCAAGGAGCUGGAGACCUUGGGGAGCCCCUCUCGGGGAGGAAAGAGCUUCCAGGAUGCGGACGCAGCACAGUGGAAGAGGCCUGCUCCACUUGCCUGGGAACCUGGGCAGGAGGCACAGAGGAAGCCACGGCCUGGAGAUGCAGGUCCCCCGGCACCUCUCCCUGUCCCAGCAGCCCAGGAUGGCCUGGUGCCCCCACCUGCUGCAGCAGGAGCCCCAAGGAGUGCUGGCCAAGGGCGGUUGCUGGGGUGGUCCUCAUGGACAGUGAGGUGUGCAGGGGUGCACUGAGGGUGGUGGGAGGGGAUCACCUGGGUUCCAGGCUGUCCUUGCUGAGCAUCUUUGAGCCUGCCUCCUGGUGGAAGCAGAAAAGGCCAGACCGUGCUGAGUUAGAGGCUGCUGGGAUCCACUCUGUCCACACAGCGGGAGGGCUGCUGGGAGCAGGUGGUAGAGAAGUGCCAUGUUUGAGUUGGGUCUUGCAGCUCUUCCAGCUGGGACUGGUGCUUGCUGAAACCCGGGAGCUGAACAGUGAGGAGGCUGUCCACCUUGCUUGGCUCACUGGGACCAGGAAAGCCUGUCUUUGGUUAGGAUCGUGUACUUCUGCGGGAAAAAAAGAAAAAAAAAAAAAAAAAAAGGAUGUGCCAUUGGUCAUGAUGUUUGAAAAGAGGAGGAGGCCGAAGUUGUUCCCAUUUACCCAGUAUUGGAAAAUAUUUGACCCCCUUGGCUGAAUUCUUUUGCAGAACUACUGUAUGUCUGUUCACUACCUUUUCAGGUUUAUUGUUUUUAUUUUUGCAUGAAUUGAAAGUUUUAAUUUCUUUGCAGACAAGGUCUAGAUGCGGAGUCAGAGAUGGGACUGAAUGGGGAGGGAUCAUUUGUAUUCUCAUGGUUGGCUCUGACUUUCAGCUGAACUGGGACCACUGGCUGAUCACAUCACCUCUCUGCCUCAGUUUCCCCAUAUCUGUAAAAUGGGAGAAUAAUACUUGCCUACCUACCUCACAGGGGUGUUGUGAGGAUUCAUUUGUGAUCCUGUGGAUUUUUUUUUUUUUUUUGUACAGGCUUCUAACUUUAAAAAAAACAGCUAAAUGUGA